ACCAAAACUUUUUUAGUGCUCUUUUUAUUUUACUGCAACUCCCUAAAAGACACACGGCUGAUACUGAAGGUUCCCAAACAAUACCCUAUUGUUUAUCGUUCUGUUUUUCUUUUAUAAAUCGAGACUGAUUGUAAAUCGUUAGACUGACUUCCUGUCCUGAGAUGGUCCACACCUCAUAGCUGACAAAAGCUGGAAGUUCACAAGCUGCGUGCACCCUCUGGCCUGUGGCUAGGCGUGGGGGCAGCACCCCAGGCCUGUGCUCAGCAGAGCCGAAAGGUCGGCAGACAAACAACAACUCCACAAAUGUUAAGAGACUCAAGAACUUUAACCAGAGAAGGAAUCUGACUAGAUUGACAGGUAAAUGUUUCUGUCUUGAUGUGACAAGCCUUCAGUGGGAGAAAAAAACAACCCAUGUGACAACACUUCUUAAUGAAUUUGAAGUAAACGCUACGAAAAAAAGCUUUGCCAUUUUAAGAAUGAAGUUCAUUGCUUAAAAAGAAACAAAGGUUUAAUCUCUUACAAAAUAAGAAACAGGAAAGGUGUGAUAGACAAAGACCUCUCCCUUCCCUCGGCACAGGGCCUUUGCACACGCCUGCUCACACAUCUCCCCGUUUGAUGACCUCUAGCCUCAGCUAAGGUGCCACCUGCUUGAGUCACAUCACUUUACAAACCCAAAGAAAUUUGUAAUUUUCUGACAUGAUUCUCCUCAAACUUGGUUUUGUUAACUACACAGAUACAUGCUCUGCUGCUGCUAUUUUAUCUGUCAACGUCCUAUGCAUUCUCAGCAAGCCCCAGGGGAAAAUGGAAGGCAUGGAGGCAAUGCUCUGCUGUGUCUCACCUCAGUGUUACCCAGACCUGACCAAACAGCGCUGAAGGAAAGGAAAGCGAGGUGCACCUUGGACCGAAGGGCCAUGUUCUCUUCUUCCAGCUCCUUGAGCUUCUCGUGCAUCAUGUCCAGCUGCAGCAGGCCUUGAGAUAAGCUGAAGGACUCAUUGAACCGGAGGGGUGUGGAACAGCUGGAAUCCGUCUCACUCUCCUCUGAGGCGAUGGAGACGAUUCGGAGCAGCUCCUCUUUCUUGGACAGCUCGUGCUGCAGCUGAUUGACCUGCACAGAGUGAUCAGAACAUUCCACACACUUUUUAUGUGAUAUAGGUCCUAAUUCAUGGAGCAAUUGUUUUUCACCAUUAAAGUUUCCCAUCAGAUGCUA
This is a non-coding RNA of Rattus norvegicus (Norway rat), 1207 nucleotides long. The record is from RefSeq and is a predicted model, not a curated record. NCBI's taxonomy places the organism in Eukaryota, Metazoa, Chordata, Mammalia, Rodentia, Muridae.